Molecule: long non-coding RNA, 666 nt
Filed under: Homo sapiens (human)
Lineage: Eukaryota; Metazoa; Chordata; Mammalia; Primates; Hominidae
Description: non-protein coding lnc-ZNF77-165:4
Source: RNAcentral
GUGAGACUUGACGUGCCUUUUAAGAGAAGAAAGAUGCGUGAAGACUGUCCUGCACUUGGUGCAUUCAUAUGGUUUUUCUCCAGCAGAAACUUUCUUGUGCAGGAACUGAUGAGAAAGAAAUGAGUUCAUUAAAAACCAAGGGAAGGAAUGAUGCCAUCCUCACCUACUGAGGCCAGGUUCCGGAAGGUCUCCAGCAUCACAUCUCUGUAGAGGUCCCUCUGAGCAGAAUCCAGCAAAGCCCACUCCUCCAGGGUGAAGUCCACAGCCACAUCCUCAAAGACCACUGAGUCCUAAGACAAACCACACAGGUGUGCAGGAGGAUUGGAGACACUGAAAGUACUGGGGAACUGGACUCAAUUCAUAAAUUCAAACAAGAUUCUGUGGUGUCCCAACACCUCCUCUAUGACGCGAAUGUUAGAUCUUUUACUUAUUCACAAUCACUUCCUAGUAAACUUCAUGGCACCACUAUCAGUCUGAACUUAUCUCUGCCUUUUUACUGCGACUGCUCUUAUUUUCCUCUACCAGGAGGGUCUAGAGAAAUGCUAUGCAAAUGAAGUAACUUUUCCAUUUGAAACGUUGCAUAACGCAGCAGGCCUCGGUUGUCCAAACGAUGCACAUUUCAUAGGACUUUCGGAAAAGCCUUCCACCAGCUACUGCAGAAAAUGG